This 253-nucleotide ribosomal RNA is filed under the name uncultured bacterium. RNAcentral's name for it is "partial 16S ribosomal RNA". It matches the Rfam family "Bacterial small subunit ribosomal RNA", at positions 524 to 776 of the family's 1533-position model. The record is from RNAcentral.
UACGAAGGGGGCUAGCGUUGCUCGGAAUCACUGGGCGUAAAGCGCACGUAGGCGGUCUUUUAAGUCGGGGGUGAAAUCCUGGAGCUCAACUCCAGAACUGCCUUCGAUACUGGAAGACUCGAGUCCGGGAGAGGUGAGUGGAACUGCGAGUGUAGAGGUGAAAUUCGUAGAUAUUCGCAAGAACACCAGUGGCGAAGGCGGCUCACUGGCCCGGUACUGACGCUGAGGUGCGAAAGCGUGGGGAGCAAACAGG